UGAUAGCUGUGAAGCGUGAGGUUGCUGUCAUCUGGUAACGAAUGACAGGUUUUCCGUGGAGCGAAUGUCAAGUUAGGAAACUGGCGACAA
This is a non-coding RNA of Clostridium sp. CAG:277, 90 nucleotides long. The record is from Rfam. Lineage: Bacteria; Bacillati; Bacillota; Clostridia; Eubacteriales; Clostridiaceae.